GGUACAAAGGGCAGCGACACAGCGAUGUGAUGCGAAUCCCGAAAAGCCUGUCUCAGUCCGGAUCGGAGUCUGCAACUCGACUCCGUGAAGUUGGAAUCGCUAGUAAUCGUGGAUCAGCAUGCCACGGUGAAUACGUUCCCGGGCCUU
RNAcentral lists this ribosomal RNA (147 nucleotides) under uncultured Desulfocapsa sp. RNAcentral's name for it is "partial 16S ribosomal RNA". It matches the Rfam family "Bacterial small subunit ribosomal RNA", at positions 1236 to 1382 of the family's 1533-position model. The record is from RNAcentral. Lineage: Bacteria; Pseudomonadati; Thermodesulfobacteriota; Desulfobulbia; Desulfobulbales; Desulfocapsaceae.